RNAcentral lists this ribosomal RNA (390 nucleotides) under uncultured bacterium. RNAcentral's name for it is "bacterial SSU rRNA". It matches the Rfam family "Bacterial small subunit ribosomal RNA", at positions 28 to 417 of the family's 1533-position model. The record is from RNAcentral.
GACGAACGCUGGCGGCGUGCUUAACACAUGCAAGUCGAGCGGUAAGGCCCUUUCGGGGGUACACGAGCGGCGAACGGGUGAGUAACACGUGGGUGACCUGCCCUCAGCUCUGGGAUAAGCCUGGGAAACUGGGUCUAAUACUGGAUAUGACUCCACGGUGCAUGUCGUGGGGUGGAAAGCCUUGUGCGGCUGAGGAUGGGCCCGCGGCCUAUCAGCUUGUUGGUGGGGUGAUGGCCUACCAAGGCGACGACGGGUAGCCGGCCUGAGAGGGCGACCGGCCACACUGGGACUGAGACACGGCCCAGACUCCUACGGGAGGCGGCAGUGGGGAAUCUUGCGCAAGUGGGCGAAAGCCCUGACGCAGCGACGCCGCGUGAGGGAUGACGGCCU